Molecule: non-coding RNA, 48 nt
Filed under: Alexandrium minutum
Lineage: Eukaryota; Dinophyceae; Gonyaulacales; Pyrocystaceae
Source: RNAcentral
UUUUUUUUUUUUUUUUUUUUUUUUUUUUUUUUUUUUUUUUUUUUUUCG